ACUUAAAUUGAAGAGUUUGAUCAUGGCUCAGAUUGAACGCUGGCGGCAGGCCUAACACAUGCAAGUCGAGCGGUAGCACAGAGAGCUUGCUCUCGGGUGACGAGCGGCGGACGGGUGAGUAAUGUCUGGGAAACUACCUGAUGGAGGGGGAUAACUACUGGAAACGGUAGCUAAUACCGCAUAACGUCGCAAGACCAAAGUGGGGGACCUUCGGGCCUCAUGCCAUCAGAUGUGCCCAGAUGGGAUUAGCUGGUAGGUGGGGUAACGGCUCACCUAGGCGACGAUCCCUAGCUGGUCUGAGAGGAUGACCAGCCACACUGGAACUGAGACACGGUCCAGACUCCUACGGGAGGCAGCAGUGGGGAAUAUUGCACAAUGGGCGCAAGCCUGAUGCAGCCA
This 399-nucleotide ribosomal RNA is filed under the name Klebsiella variicola. RNAcentral describes it as "bacterial SSU rRNA". It matches the Rfam family "Bacterial small subunit ribosomal RNA", at positions 1 to 394 of the family's 1533-position model. The record is from RNAcentral. Lineage: Bacteria; Pseudomonadati; Pseudomonadota; Gammaproteobacteria; Enterobacterales; Enterobacteriaceae.